CAUCUUCGGGGCAGGGUGAAAAUCCCGACCGGCGGUAAUAAGGUAAAACCUUUAGCCCGCGAGUCUAUUUAUUAGACAGGAUUUGGUGAGAUUCCAAAGCCGACAGUACAGUCUGGAUGGGAGAAGAUG
This 129-nucleotide non-coding RNA is filed under the name Bacillus andreraoultii. RNAcentral describes it as "FMN riboswitch (RFN element)". It matches the Rfam family "FMN riboswitch aptamer (RFN element)". Rfam says of the family: The RFN element is a highly conserved domain that is found frequently in the 5'-untranslated regions of prokaryotic mRNAs that encode for flavin mononucleotide (FMN) biosynthesis and transport proteins. This element is a metabolite-dependent riboswitch that directly binds FMN in the absence of proteins. Lineage: Bacteria; Bacillati; Bacillota; Bacilli; Caryophanales; Bacillaceae. The record is from RNAcentral.